RNAcentral lists this small RNA (29 nucleotides) under Bombyx mori (domestic silkworm). Its description in RNAcentral is "ovarian small RNA-24583". The record is from RNAcentral. Lineage: Eukaryota; Metazoa; Arthropoda; Insecta; Lepidoptera; Bombycidae.
UCAACAUAUCCAAUCAAAUCAAUACUUGC